AAGAAGAGAAGAAAGAGAGCGAAGAGAAAAAGAGAGAAGAGAAGAAAAAGGAAAAAGAGAGUAUGUAGUAGAGAGAAAGGAAGAAGAGAGACGAAAAAGAGAGAGAAGAGAAGAGGAAAAGAAAAGAAAAGAAGAAAAGAAGAAAGAAGAGGAAAAUAAAGAGAAUGAACUAUUGCUACUAAAUCUCACUCCUACUCUUACCAUUACCAUAGAACCUAAAAGGGAAGGGUUCUCAUUUUUUACUUUUUUUCAACUUAUCAUGCACUCUUCCAUUAUUCAUUUUUCUUUACAAAUAAUUGUCAUUCCAUAUUUUAUGCAAUCCUUUUCAAAAUAUGGUAAUUCAAAACUUCAGUUAAUGUUACAUUUGUGUACACAAGUAACUCAAGAAAAAAAUCAAAUAACUUGGGCAUAUGGAAUUCUCCAUUUUUCCAAGGCUAAUUUUUAGAAAAUCUUUUUCAGAAAUACAAGAUUUUUUUGUCUUCUUAUCUUUGCUUACAUCUUCUUCAUACUCAUUUUUGCUAUCUUUUGUAGAUAUAUUUUUGAUCGAGGAGGAAAACAAACACCAAAGUUUUGCUUCUUUCUUUCUUCCCGC
RNAcentral lists this long non-coding RNA (592 nucleotides) under Vigna radiata. RNAcentral's name for it is "long non-coding RNA (VRAD_LNC000452)". The record is from RNAcentral. Lineage: Eukaryota; Viridiplantae; Streptophyta; Magnoliopsida; Fabales; Fabaceae.